CUUUUAGUUUUCGCACUCUAACUUUAGUAAAAGUGAACAGAAAUCUAUGAAAUUUUAACACAAGGUUUAUGACCACAAAAGGAAGGUUGGGAUUGAUUUUGGGAGUGUUGGUCCCAACAUUUUAGGAAUUAGGGGCCAAAAAGGGCCCAAAUAAGCAUUUUCUUGGUUUUCGCACUAUAACUUUAGUUUAAGUAAAUAGAAAUCUAUGAAAUUUUGACACAAGGUUUAUGACCACAAAAGGAAGGUUGAGAUUGAUUUUGGGAGUUUUAGUUUAAACAGUUUAGGAAUUAGGGGCCAAAAAAGGGCCCAAGUAAGCAUUAUUCUUGGUUUUCGC
RNAcentral lists this long non-coding RNA (334 nucleotides) under Mytilus galloprovincialis (Mediterranean mussel). Lineage: Eukaryota; Metazoa; Mollusca; Bivalvia; Mytilida; Mytilidae. The record is from RNAcentral.